GGAAAAGUUUGGACGUAGCAAGAAAUAUGCCUUACGCAAGAGACAGAGUCGUGGAAUGCUAUUUUUGGAUGAUGGGCUUAUACUAUGAACCUGAAUAUUCCAUUGGAAGAAGUAUAAUGACAAAAGUCAUAGCCACUACAUCCUUGUUAGAUGACACUUACGAUAACUAUGCUACAUGUGAGGAACUGGAGCUUUUAACAGAAGCAAUCGAAAGGUGGGACAUUAAGGCC
RNAcentral lists this unclassified non-coding RNA (230 nucleotides) under Hevea brasiliensis (rubber tree). The record is from RNAcentral. Lineage: Eukaryota; Viridiplantae; Streptophyta; Magnoliopsida; Malpighiales; Euphorbiaceae.